UGUGGGAGCGAGCCUGCUCGCGAUAGCGGUGUGACAGUGACUUCAUCUCUAACUGAACUACGCCAUCGCGAGCAGGCUCGCUCCCACA
Molecule: unclassified non-coding RNA, 88 nt
Filed under: Pseudomonas thivervalensis
Lineage: Bacteria; Pseudomonadati; Pseudomonadota; Gammaproteobacteria; Pseudomonadales; Pseudomonadaceae
Source: RNAcentral